GACGAACGCUGGCGGCGUGCCUAAUACAUGCAAGUAGGACGCAGUUGAGAACGGGUGAGUAACGAGUAGGUAACUACCUAUUAGAGAGGGAUAACUAUUGGAAAAGAUAGCUAAUACCGAAUACUAGAAGAUGGACCGGCGUUGUAUUAGCUAGAAGGUAGGGUAAUGGCCUACCUAGGCAACGAUACAUAGCCGACCGUGGAGGGUGAUGUGCCCAACUGGGACGGAGAGACGGCCCAGACGCCUACGGUAGGCAGCAGUAGUGAAUCUUCGGCAAGGGUGGGAACCCUAACCGAGCAACGCCGCGGUAGUGAAGAAGGUUUUCGGAUCGUAAAGCUCUGUUGUUAAGCAAGCGGUACUUAACCAGAAACGGACGGCUAACUACGUGCCAGCAGCCGCGGUAAUAC
RNAcentral lists this ribosomal RNA (407 nucleotides) under uncultured bacterium. RNAcentral's name for it is "partial 16S ribosomal RNA". It matches the Rfam family "Bacterial small subunit ribosomal RNA", at positions 28 to 526 of the family's 1533-position model. The record is from RNAcentral.